RNAcentral lists this ribosomal RNA (372 nucleotides) under uncultured bacterium. RNAcentral describes it as "bacterial SSU rRNA". It matches the Rfam family "Bacterial small subunit ribosomal RNA", at positions 525 to 896 of the family's 1533-position model. The record is from RNAcentral.
ACGGAGGGUGCGAGCGUUAAUCGGAAUUACUGGGCGUAAAGCGCGCGUAGGCGGUUUGUUAAGUCAGCUGUGAAAGCCCCGGGCUCAACCUGGGAACUGCAGUUGAUACUGGCCGACUAGAGUACGAGAGAGGGAGGUAGAAUUCCAUGUGUAGCGGUGAAAUGCGUAGAUAUAUGGAGGAAUACCGGUGGCGAAGGCGGCCUCCUGGCUCGAUACUGACGCUGAGGUGCGAAAGCGUGGGGAUCAAACAGGAUUAGAUACCCUGGUAGUCCACGCCGUAAACGAUGUCUACUAGCCGUUGGGAGACUUGAUUUCUUAGUGGCGCAGCUAACGCAAUAAGUAGACCGCCUGGGGAGUACGGCCGCAAGGUUA